Molecule: long non-coding RNA, 464 nt
Filed under: Mytilus galloprovincialis (Mediterranean mussel)
Lineage: Eukaryota; Metazoa; Mollusca; Bivalvia; Mytilida; Mytilidae
Source: RNAcentral
UAUAUAUAUAUAUAGGUCACCGUACGGCCUUCAACAAAGAGUAAAGCCCAUACCGCAUACUCAGCUUCAAAAGGCCCGAAAUGACAAUGUAAAACAAUGCAAACGAGAAAACUAGCGGCCUUAUUUAUGUACAAAAAAUGAACGAAAAACAAAUAUGUAACACAUAAACAAACGACAACCAAUGAAUUACAGGCUCCUUACUUAAAUAAAUGUUCAUAACAUACUAAAUGUAUGUUCAUAUUGAAAUUGAUAGAAAACCAAAAAUUGGGAACUUUGGAAAUAAAGGUGGAGGGUAAAAAAACAUUUUCCUGUCCCCAAUAACCUAUGACUUAUGAUACUUUUGCUGAAAUUCUCAAGUCAUUCUGUAUUUUACAAAAUUCUUCCAACAACACUUUACAUACUUUAAACUACGCUCUGAAUCCCCGCGAUUUCGCGGGUGUGUUCUAGUGUUAUUUAUUAUUCAU